Molecule: ribosomal RNA, 468 nt
Filed under: uncultured bacterium
Lineage: Bacteria
Description: partial 16S ribosomal RNA
Rfam family: Bacterial small subunit ribosomal RNA
Source: RNAcentral
GACGAACGCUGGCGGCGUGCUUAACACAUGCAAGUCGAACGGAAAGGCCCUGCUUUUGUGGGGUGCUCGAGUGGCGAACGGGUGAGUAACACGUGAGUAACCUGCCCUUGACUUUGGGAUAACUUCAGGAAACUGGGGCUAAUACAGGAUAGGAGCUCCUGCUGCAUGGUGGGGGUUGGAAAGUUUCGGCGGUUGGGGAUGGACUCGCGGCUUAUCAGCUUGUUGGUGGGGUAGUGGCUUACCAAGCCUUUGACGGGUAGCCGGCCUGAGAGGGGUGCCGGCGACAUUGGGACUGAGAUACGGCCCAGUCUCCUACGGGAGGCAGCAGUGGGGAAUAUUGCACAAUGGGCGGAAGCCUGAGGCAGCAACGCCGCGUGCGGGAUGACGGCCUUCGGGUUGUAAACCGCUUUCGCCUGUGACGAAGCGUGAGUGACGGUAAUGGGUAAAGAAGCACCGGCUAACUACGUG